RNAcentral lists this transfer RNA (74 nucleotides) under Rickettsiales bacterium. RNAcentral describes it as "tRNA-Leu". It matches the Rfam family "tRNA". Rfam says of the family: Transfer RNA (tRNA) molecules are approximately 80 nucleotides in length. Their secondary structure includes four short double-helical elements and three loops (D, anti-codon, and T loops). Further hydrogen bonds mediate the characteristic L-shaped molecular structure. tRNAs have two regions of fundamental functional importance: the anti-codon, which is responsible for specific mRNA codon recognition, and the 3' end, to which the tRNAs corresponding amino acid is attached (by aminoacyl-tRNA synthetases). tRNAs cope with the degeneracy of the genetic code in two manners: having more than one tRNA (with a specific anti-codon) for a particular amino acid; and 'wobble' base-pairing, i.e. permitting non-standard base-pairing at the 3rd anti-codon position. Lineage: Bacteria; Pseudomonadati; Pseudomonadota; Alphaproteobacteria; Rickettsiales. The record is from RNAcentral.
ACUGUGAUGGUGGAAUUGGUAGACACAGUAGAUUUAGGAUCUAUUUGCUAGGGGUUCAAGUCCCCUUUACGGUA